Molecule: long non-coding RNA, 1434 nt
Filed under: Eucalyptus grandis
Lineage: Eukaryota; Viridiplantae; Streptophyta; Magnoliopsida; Myrtales; Myrtaceae
Description: long non-coding RNA (EGRA_LNC004752)
Source: RNAcentral
GAUUCUCCAAGUCUUUCAGUGUCUUCAUUUAUUAGCAGGUAACCGUUCAGAUCGGAUCUCCCCAAGGUAAGAUGCGGUCGAUUCAUGGAGACUCGAUCAUACGAUUCUUUUGAGUUUGCCUUUUGCCGAGAGCUUCAAAUUGUUGUCUCAAAUUGCUCGUGUUAUAUUGCUCGCCGAUUUAUAGGAAUUCCUAUUUGUAGAACACCUCACCCUUCAUGAUCACCACCCGUUCGAUGUUUUGCCUCAGAGAUGCUAAUGACGAAUUUGUCUUCAUCAUCGAUCAAUCUGAGAUUGCAUAGCGUGAUCUGGAUGUUCUUGUUCGACAUGCUGAUCAUAUAUUGUGAAUUUUCAUGCUUCAUCCUUUGAUGGCACAGAGUUCUCUUUCCCUUGGUGCUUCAGUUUACUUUGUCUCCUUCGGUUGUGUGACUGAAUUGUUGUCUGGUAUAACAGUAAGUCACUAUACAUUGGUGGUUAAUAAAUCACAGCAAAGCUAUAUCAAGUUCAAUGUCGUUUUGAUGCUCAUAAAAGACCAUUCCACCAAAGCUCGAGAAAGAGAGUCCUCAACCUAAUUUAAAUUCCAAUUCAAAAUCUAUAGUUUCUACUUUCCCUUUUGAUAUUAAGAAGAGCAGUGCACUAGACCAAAAUUUGGUGAUAGCAACUUGGAAUUUUCUUUGCGGGAUUUCGGUGCAUAGACUUAAUUCUUACUGGCUCGUAAAUCCGAAAAUUCUCAAUAUGAAUAUUAGUAUCUUUUGGCUUGAUCAACACGAAAAUAUGAGAGAGCAAGCUUGCUUCAUGUCAUGGGGUGUGUUUGAUUGAUACCUUCCAUGACUAUGAUAAUGACGUAUUCUUGGAAAGUCAAUUCAAUAGUUAUUUUAUGAGUGGAGUGAAUAGAUGAUAUAUAAGGAUUAUCCAUCUGUUAGUUUUACAAAUGAGACGGUAUAUUAUGUUUUCUCAAUUUAAACAGGAGAAGUUAGAUAAAAAGGUAUUUUGGUUUUAUAAUGUACCAUUAGUUCUUGAAUUUUUUUAUAGCCGAUUGAGAUCUUAAAACAACCUAAUUUUAUUUUAACUCCUAUACAACUGUGGUAUUCUAUCCUCUCAUCUUCUUCAAAGAGUUUAUUUUCAUGUUGUGAUUUUUGUUUCACGCUCAAUCAAAGGCUAGGGCACAAUUACAAGGAGAUAAAGGAGUGCCACGAAGGAAAUGAUGAUCAAUGAGGCAGAAAGCGAGGGUGAUAGUCUCUUUGGACUGCUCUGUUUUGUCCAAAAUUCCACGAGGUAAGAAUGGAACAAGAUCAUCCAUGAAUUUCGAAUAAUGGCUUGGGUGUAGAGCGAGAGUAUAGAGCUUCCAUAGCCAUUGACAGCUGCGAGAACGAGAUUAUCUCCCACUGCCAGUGCUUGUCCCUUCUCUAUUUCGUCUGAAGAAACCCCACUGCUUGA